Molecule: long non-coding RNA, 242 nt
Organism: Lethenteron reissneri (Far Eastern brook lamprey)
Lineage: Eukaryota; Metazoa; Chordata; Hyperoartia; Petromyzontiformes; Petromyzontidae
Source: RefSeq, a predicted model, not a curated record
CUCAUCACCCACCCACCUGUAUUUGUACCUUCAAGAUCACCCAUCGUCUCAUUCAACGCCUGAACAUACACGCCAAAGGUGUUGAAUUUCUCGGAUCGCGCAUUUCCAGACCUUCAACUCUUGCUCGGCGACAGGAAACCCGUGCAGCUGUAGCGAUGGGUGGAACCUGUCGAGUGGCGCUGCUGACGGCGCUGGGAUUUGCUCUGGCAAUCAUUCAAGGUUCACAUCAUGUGGCUGGUCAG